GCCCCCGUCGUCUAGAGGCCCAGGACAUCACCCUUUCAAGGUGGAGAUCGCGGGUUCGAAUCCCGCCGGGGGCACCA
RNAcentral lists this transfer RNA (77 nucleotides) under Dehalococcoidia bacterium. RNAcentral's name for it is "tRNA-Glu". It matches the Rfam family "tRNA". Rfam says of the family: Transfer RNA (tRNA) molecules are approximately 80 nucleotides in length. Their secondary structure includes four short double-helical elements and three loops (D, anti-codon, and T loops). RNAcentral also lists the same sequence under 1 other name. Lineage: Bacteria; Bacillati; Chloroflexota; Dehalococcoidia. The record is from RNAcentral.